Molecule: RNase P RNA, 350 nt
Filed under: Marinobacter sp. AN1
Lineage: Bacteria; Pseudomonadati; Pseudomonadota; Gammaproteobacteria; Pseudomonadales; Marinobacteraceae
Description: RNase P RNA component class A
Rfam family: Bacterial RNase P class A
About the family: Ribonuclease P (RNase P) is a ubiquitous endoribonuclease, found in archaea, bacteria and eukarya as well as chloroplasts and mitochondria. Its best characterised activity is the generation of mature 5'-ends of tRNAs by cleaving the 5'-leader elements of precursor-tRNAs.
Source: RNAcentral
UGAGCUCGCCAGACAGUCGCCGCCGGUGUCACCGGGGGAGGAAAGUCCGGGCUCCGCAGGGCAAGGUGCCAGGUAACGCCUGGGCGGCGUGAGCCGACGGAAAGUGCAACAGAAAGUAUACCGCCUAAGCGCCUUUGGCGCCGGUAAGGGUGAAACGGUGCGGUAAGAGCGCACCGCGUGGCUGGCAACAGUCCACGGCGAUGGUAAACCCCACCUGGAGCAAGACCAAAUAGGAAUCCAAUGGCGUGGCCCGCGCUGGAUUCGGGUAGGUUGCUUGAGGCCUGUGGUGACGCAGGCCCUAGAUGAAUGACUGUCCACGACAGAACCCGGCUUAUCGGCGAGCUCACUCC